CUGCGCCGAAGAUUCCCGGGGCUAAAGUAUGGAACCGAAGCUAUGGAUGCAUACGUAGGUAUGCGUGGUAGAGGAGCGUUCCCAUCGGGUUGAAGUCGUCCUGGAAGGGACGGUGGACUGGUGGGAAGUGAGAAUGUUGGCAUGAGUAGCGAAAAGAAUGGUGAGAAUCCAUUCCACCGAAAGCAUAAGGAUUCCUGAGCAACGAUCGUCGUCUCAGGGUAAGUCGGGACCUAAUCCGAGGCAAAGAGCGUAGGAGAUGGACAACUGGUUGAUAUUCCAGUACCGGCAGUGAUCGUUUGAACGAAGGAGUGACGCAGGAAGGCAGGUCCGCACGAGAUUGGUAGAUCGUGUGCAAGCGUGCAGGCUGGUUACCAGGCAAAUCCGGUAACUGAGGCUGAGGCGUGAUGCGGAGGGAACUUGUUCCCGAAGGGAUUGAGCCUACGCUGCCGAGAAAAGCUUCUAGUGAGAAAGCUGCCGCCCGUACCGUAAACCGACACAGGUAUGCGGGGAGAGAAUCCUAAGGUGCGCGGGAGAACCCUCGUUAAGGAACUCGGCAAAAUGUACCCGUAACUUCGGGAUAAGGGUAGCCACAAAGGUGAAGGGACUAGCUCCCGGAGCCCGGUGUGGUCGCAGAGAAGAGGCCCAAGCGACUGUUAACCAGAAACACAGGUGCCUGCGAAAGAGAAAUCUGAAGUAUAGGUGCUGACACCUGCCCAGUGCUGGAAGGUUAAAGAAGGAUGUCCGGGUUCGACCCAAAGCAUUCGACUGAAGCCCCAGUGAACGGCGGCCGUAACUAUAACGGUCCUAAGGUAGCGAAAUUCCUUGUCGGGUAAGUUCCGACCCGCACGAAAGGUGUAACGAUUUGGGCACUGUCUCAACGAGGGACCCGGUGAAAUUGAAAUACCUGUGAAGAUGCAGGUUACCCGCGACUGGACAGAAAGACCCCAUGGAGCUUUACUGUAACCUAAUAUUGGGUUCUGAUACUUGAUGCACAGGAUAGGUGGGAGGCACGGAAGGCAGUCCUCUGGGAUUGCCGGAGCCGACGUUGGGAUACCACCCUUCAAUUAUCGGGAUUCUAACCGAGCGAGUAACGAUCGCCGGGACAGUGUUAGGCGGGCAGUUUGACUGGGGCGGUCGCCUCCCAAAGAGUAACGGAGGCGCCCAAAGGUUCCCUCAGCGCGGACGGAAACCGCGCGCGGAGUGUAAAGGCAGAAGGGAGCUUGACUGCGAGCCAAACACGGCGAGCAGGUACGAAAGUAGGGCUUAGUGAUCCGGUGGCAUCCAAGUGGAAGGGCCAUCGCUCAACGGAUAAAAGCUACCCUGGGGAUAACAGGCUAAUCUCUCCCAAGAGUCCAUAUCGACGGGGAGGUUUGGCACCUCGAUGUCGGCUCAUCACAUCCUGGGGCUGAAGUCGGUCCCAAGGGCUGGGCUGUUCGCCCAUUAAAGUGGUACGUGAGCUGGGUUCAGAACGUCGUGAGACAGUUCGGUCCCUAUCCAUCGCGGGCGCAAGAGAUUUGAAGGGGGCUGCUCCUAGUACGAGAGGACCGGAGUGGACGGACCGCUGGUGUACCAAUUAUCCCGCCAGGGGUACAGUUGGGUAGCUACGUCCGGAACGGAUAAACGCUGAAAGCAUCUAAGCGUGAAACC
RNAcentral lists this ribosomal RNA (1647 nucleotides) under human gut metagenome. Its description in RNAcentral is "bacterial LSU rRNA". It matches the Rfam family "Bacterial large subunit ribosomal RNA", at positions 1159 to 2794 of the family's 2925-position model. The record is from RNAcentral.